Molecule: ribosomal RNA, 253 nt
Filed under: uncultured bacterium
Lineage: Bacteria
Description: partial 16S ribosomal RNA
Rfam family: Bacterial small subunit ribosomal RNA
Source: RNAcentral
UACGUAGGGUGCGAGCGUUGUUCGGAAUUACUGGGCGUAAAGGGCUCGUAGGUGGCCAACUAAGUCAGACGUGAAAUCCCUCGGCUUAACCGGGGAACUGCGUCUGAUACUGGAUGGCUCGAGUUUGGGAGAGGGAUGCGGAAUUCCAGGUGUAGCGGUGAAAUGCGUAGAUAUCUGGAGGAACACCGGUGGCGAAGGCGGCAUCCUGGACCAACACUGACACUGAGGAGCGAAAGCCAGGGGAGCAAACGGG